RNAcentral lists this long non-coding RNA (1199 nucleotides) under Homo sapiens (human). RNAcentral describes it as "non-protein coding lnc-SORBS3-1:2". The record is from RNAcentral. Lineage: Eukaryota; Metazoa; Chordata; Mammalia; Primates; Hominidae.
CAAAAAAAAAAAAAAAAAAAAAAAAGAAUUUUCAUCCUGACCAAUCUGGGUGACCAAUCAAUUAAAUUGGUUUAGGAAGAGCUUGCCCUAGAUUGGUUGAUUUCAUAAUUUUUCUUUUUAUUAAUUAUUGGGUUUUUCUCUCUGAUCUCUGCAUUGAAAAUUAUUUCCUAAGCCAUAAAGACUUGUUGAGGUACCAUUCUAGAAUCCCCAAUAUUUAUUCUAGUUGUUAUAGUAACAGUGGAACCCAAGUUUCUCCUAAAGCAUUACCCAGCUUUCCUUGCCCAGGCAGAAAAGAUGGCAGAGGGAGGGUGAACCCAGGGCCCAUCUGUGGGUAUGGGCUCCAAUUUCCUAAAUUGUUUGUGGUUAUAACCAUGGCUUCCACCUUGUCUGGCACCGGGUCCACAUCUUUUCUGAGACCUGCUAGAAGGUCAGAGCCCUAGAGAAUAAGAGAAGCUUGCUGCUGGUGAGGGGGUAUGGCCAGGAUUCCUGGAGUCGGAAGAGCUUCAGCUUCACCAUCUUGGGAGAAGAAGGAAGAAAGUGAAAGCGAUGUGGUCCUUCUUAGUCCCAAGGACCCUGACAGCUUUCACAUGUGAUGUUUCAAGGCAACGGGGAGAGCUUCUUUACCAGAACGAGGGAGAAGAUAAGACUAAAGCAGUAAUGGUGGUAGGGACUGAAAAUCACUUAGUCUUUUCUCUACUCUCUUUCUUUCCAAACUUUGAGUUGAGUGGUGAGCUUGGAAAACACUCCAAAACUCCUCGUGGCCUCUGGCACCAGUCUGACACCCAGUAGGAAUGCAGGAGAUUACGUUAGUUUUCAUAAUUUAGCAUUGAUCACUCCCAGCUCGUAGCUAAAGUUGAUCAGUAACUGUUGGUUGGUUGGCUGGUUUGGGGCUUGGGGAUCCCUGAGCCAACUCAAGGGCCAGAAAGGAUUCCAGAGUGUUUCCACGGUCCUUCAAUGUUCCUUAAGCAUUCCCACUUUCUGAAGUGCCAUACAGAGGCUUGGGGCAGAGACAGGGAGAGGGGAUGACCAGAAUGGAUGGGGAGCCGGAAGGGCCGGGGCUCUGGGGACCCAGCUCAGAGCAGCGAGAACAGCGGAAAAGCAGGCAGAUCAAAACAAACACAGUGUCUGGGAACACCAAGACCCUCCUAAUCCCAUCCCCGCCAAAGGGACCCCACCCUUAUCCUCUUUAGGGGCGCGGC